UUUGACGCGAAUCACUUGCAUCCAAAGACGAUUUGGUCAUGUUCCUUUUCAGAAUCGCUCGUUUCUUUUAGUAAUUUAAGAUUAUGACUAGGCCUACAGCAUCUAACUAACUGUAAUCCUCUGAUAACUAAAUGUCUGAAGGCAAAAUACCAUUUUAUUGAUGAAUAUAUCUCCAUUUAACUCAUACAGUUUAGUGUAGGGUGUAAUGUCUGAAUGUUUUUGUUGACAGUAGCAGACACUACAUCUGCCUAUGAGCAAUGGACAGAACUGAGAAUACCAUAUCAUGAACAGUAGUGAACACUGCUGGCAACAUCCUGUUUUAAUAACAAAUUGCUAUAGACUAACAAGGCAACUGCUAUAUUAUAUUCUGACUCUUUACUGGACUCACCAGACUCUGCGCUGUAUACUACUGAACACAAUGAAGGAUCAACGUCUUUUCAUUUCGGAAUUCAAGUAGUAAGCGGUAGCCUGUUGUCUGGGAUCGAUUUCUCUACAUACAAGCCCCACCAGUGCAGUUGGCACACAACAGCAUCUCUCCUGAUCAAGUGAAAAGGAAUCCUAUGACACCGCUUGAUCUUUGUCUGACAUGGAAAUCUGCAAAUCAAAUAAGGUGGAAGAAUAACAUCUGGUUAAAAAAUUUAUGUGGAAAAAUAUCUGCUUUAAAGUGAUGUCAUGAACUGGACGCUGCACUCUUGAUUCCAACACUAAUAUUGUCAUGACCAAAUGUUAAAGUUCAUAUUCAGCAAGUUGAAGAUAACUGACACCAUCUUUAAGUAUAAGUUUCACAAAUAUGGUAUUCAGAAGUUUUUUGUUUUCACUACUGAUGUAUAUAUAGUAUAAAAAAAUGGAUUUCUGUAAUAGAAUAAAGUAUUGGAAUACA
Molecule: long non-coding RNA, 880 nt
Organism: Haliotis rufescens (red abalone)
Lineage: Eukaryota; Metazoa; Mollusca; Gastropoda; Lepetellida; Haliotidae
Exons: 5
Source: RefSeq, a predicted model, not a curated record